Molecule: non-coding RNA, 150 nt
Organism: Xylaria arbuscula
Lineage: Eukaryota; Fungi; Ascomycota; Sordariomycetes; Xylariales; Xylariaceae
Source: the annotation of a GenBank genome assembly
GGACCCGUAGCUCAGCGGUAGAGCAUCUGAUUCCAGCUAUCUAGCAUCUACUGCUAGCUGCCUCCAGAAGUAGGUUUACCUAACUAUUGAGUACCUUGGCGCAUUAGCUAACAAGCGGUAGGGUCAUCCGUUCAAAUCGGGUCGGGUUCA